UGCCAGCCGCCGCGGUAAUACGGAGGGUGCAAGCGUUACUCGGAAUCACUGGGCGUAAAGGGUGUGUAGGCGGGGCAGUAAGUCAGAGGUGAAAGCCCACGGCUCAACCGUGGAAUUGCCUUUGAUACUGCUGUUCUUGAGUCUCGGAGAGGUCGCCGGAAUUCGUGGUGUAGCGGUGAAAUGCGUAGAUAUCACGAGGAACACCAGAGGCGUAGGCGGGCGACUGGACGAGUACUGACGCUGAGGCACGAAAGCGUGGGGAGCAAACAGGAUUAGAUA
This 279-nucleotide ribosomal RNA is filed under the name uncultured bacterium. Its description in RNAcentral is "partial 16S ribosomal RNA". It matches the Rfam family "Bacterial small subunit ribosomal RNA", at positions 506 to 784 of the family's 1533-position model. The record is from RNAcentral.